Molecule: unclassified non-coding RNA, 207 nt
Filed under: uncultured Sporidiobolales
Lineage: Eukaryota; Fungi; Basidiomycota; Microbotryomycetes; Sporidiobolales
Also listed under: 1 other name
Description: sequence contains ITS2
Source: RNAcentral
AUUCUUCAACCCUCUCUUUUCUUAGUGAUUAGAGAGGAGUUUGGAUUCUGAGUGUUGCUCCUAACCCGAGCUCAUUCGUAAUGUAUUAGCAUCCAUAUUCGAAUUUCGGAUUGACUUGGCGUAAUAGACUAUUCGCUGAGGAAUCUAACUUCGGUUAGAGCCGUGUUUGAACUAGGAAGCUACUAAUCUAGCUUAGUCUACUUUUAG